Molecule: long non-coding RNA, 245 nt
Filed under: Elaeis guineensis (African oil palm)
Lineage: Eukaryota; Viridiplantae; Streptophyta; Magnoliopsida; Arecales; Arecaceae
Description: long non-coding RNA (EGUI_LNC008036)
Source: RNAcentral
UGCCGGUCAAAAAGGAAGGGUUCAUGUUGUAUUUUUUGUGUGAAAGAAUGAUUCAUCUAUUUUCGUGGUGCCAAGUAUUGGCUCCUGCUUUGCAUAGAUUUUAAAACACUUAGAACAAGUUCAAUCAUUUGUUUAUAUAGAUCUUAAAACAAUCAUUAUACAAUCUAAUGGUAGAAUAUUCAUGCAAAGAAAAAUAAAUCAUUCUUUCGUGCAAAAGGUACAGCCUCUACCCCAACAAGAAGAAC